Molecule: ribosomal RNA, 433 nt
Filed under: uncultured Rhodocyclaceae bacterium
Lineage: Bacteria; Pseudomonadati; Pseudomonadota; Betaproteobacteria; Rhodocyclales; Rhodocyclaceae
Description: partial 16S ribosomal RNA
Rfam family: Bacterial small subunit ribosomal RNA
Source: RNAcentral
CCUACGGGAGGCAGCAGUGAGGAAUAUUGCGCAAUGGGCGAAAGCCUGACGCAGCGACGCCGCGUGGGCGACGAAGGCCUUCGGGUUGUAAAGCCCUUUUGGCAGGGACGAGUGAGGACGGUACCUGCCGAAUAAGUCUCGGCUAACUACGUGCCAGCAGCCGCGGUAAUACGUAGGGUGCGAGCGUUAAUCGGAAUUACUGGGCGUAAAGCGUGCGCAGGCGGCUUUGUAAGACGGAUGUGAAAUCCCUGGGCUUAACCGAGGAACUGCGUUCGUGACUGCAAAGCUAGAGUGCGGCAGAGGGGGGUGGAAUUCCUGGUGUAGCAGUGAAAUGCGUAGAGAUCAGGAGGAACACCGAUGGCGAAGGCGGCCCCCGGGGUUGGCACUGACGCUCAGGCACGAAAGCGGGGGGAGCAAACAGGAUUAGAUACCC